CGCAGCGGCUACAGCGCGUUGAAUGCAACAGUUCCCAUUGGACCACUGAAGUUAAAGAACGCUGCGCGAGGUUGGUAUCUGAAUGAGUGACCAUUUGGACAAUCGCCUGCUUCUGGCU
Molecule: ribosomal RNA, 118 nt
Filed under: Diaphorina citri (Asian citrus psyllid)
Lineage: Eukaryota; Metazoa; Arthropoda; Insecta; Hemiptera; Psyllidae
Source: RNAcentral